UACGAAGGGGGCUAGCGUUGCUCGGAAUCACUGGGCGUAAAGGGUGCGUAGGCGGGUCUUUAAGUCAGGGGUGAAAUCCUGGAGCUCAACUCCAGAUCUGCCUUUGAUACUGAGGAUCUUGAGUUCGGGAGAGGUGAGUGGAACUGCGAGUGUAGAGGUGAAAUUCGUAGAUAUUCGCAAGAACACCAGUGGCGAAGGCGGCUCACUGGCCCGAUACUGACGCUGAGGCACGAAAGCGUGGGGAGCAAACAGG
This 253-nucleotide ribosomal RNA is filed under the name uncultured bacterium. RNAcentral describes it as "partial 16S ribosomal RNA". It matches the Rfam family "Bacterial small subunit ribosomal RNA", at positions 524 to 776 of the family's 1533-position model. The record is from RNAcentral.